Molecule: transfer RNA, 74 nt
Filed under: Stegodyphus dumicola
Lineage: Eukaryota; Metazoa; Arthropoda; Arachnida; Araneae; Eresidae
Description: tRNA-Ser
Rfam family: tRNA
About the family: Transfer RNA (tRNA) molecules are approximately 80 nucleotides in length. Their secondary structure includes four short double-helical elements and three loops (D, anti-codon, and T loops).
Source: RNAcentral
GCCUUCGUCGUGUAGUGGUUCUGCACGCUGGGCCGGAAUUCCAGAGGUCCGUGGUUCGAUUCCCGGCGAAGGCG